UGCACUUACACCUUCGACCUAUCAACCAGAUAGUCUUUCUGGGGUCUUACCCUUGCGGUGGGAAAUCUUAUCUUGAAGUUGGCUUCGCGCUUAGAUGCUUUCAGCGCUUAUCCAUUCCGUACAUAGCUACCCAGCCAUGCCCUUGGCAGAACAACUGGUACACCAGAGGUACGUCCAUCCCGGUCCUCUCGUACUAAGGACAGGUCUUCUCAAAUUUCCUACGCCUGCGACGGAUAGGGACCGAACUGUCUCACGACGUUCUGAACCCAGCUCGCGUACCACUUUAAUGGGCGAACAGCCCAACCCUUGGGACCUACUACAGCCCCAGGAUGUGAUGAGCCGACAUCGAGGUGCCAAACCUCCCCGUCGAUGUGGACUCUUGGGGGAGAUAAGCCUGUUAUCCCCAGGGUAGCUUUUAUCCGUUGAGCGAUGGCCCUUCCACGCAGAACCACCGGAUCACUAAGUCCGAUUUUCAUCCUUGCUCGACCUGUAUGUCUUGCAAUCAAGCUCUCUUUUGCCUUUACACUCUACGUACGAUUUCCGACCGUACUGAGAGAACCUUUGAGCGCCUCCGUUACCUUUUGGGAGGCGACCGCCCCAGUCAAACUGCCCACCUGACAGUGUCCCAAGACCAGAUUCAUGGCCUAUGGUUAGAGUCCCAGUACUACAAGGGUGGUAUCCCAAGGAUGGCUCCGCCAAAACUGGCGUCCUGGUUUCAAAGCCUCCCACCUAUCCUGUACAUGUAGUACCAAGACCCAAUGUCAAGCUACAGUAAAGCUCCAUGGGGUCUUUCCGUCCUGUCGCAGGUAUCCGGCAUCUUCACCGGAAUUACAAUUUCACCGAGUCUGUUGUUGAGACAGUGCCCAAAUCGUUACGCCUUUCGUGCGGGUCGGAACUUACCCGACAAGGAAUUUCGCUACCUUAGGACCGUUAUAGUUACGGCCGCCGUUUACUGGGGCUUAAGUUCACUGCUUCGAUUGCUCUAACAGAUCCCCUUAACCUUCCAGCACCGGGCAGGCGUCAGCUCCUAUACAUCGUCUUGCGACUUAGCAGAAACCUAUGUUUUUGGUAAACAGUCGCUUGGGCCUAUUCUCUGCGGCCACCUGAUGGUGGCACCCCUUAUCCCUAAGUUACGGGGUCAUUUUGCCGAGUUCCUUAACAACAGUUCUCUCGCUGGCCUUAGGAUACUCUCCUCACCCACCUGUGUCGGUUUGCGGUACGGGUACCUUUAACCUCGAUAGAGACUUUUCUUGACAGUGUGAAAUCAGCUACUUCGCUACUAAAUUUCGCUCCCCAUCACAUCCCAGCAUUAUCAAAGCGGAUUUGCCUACUUUGACUGCCUCAAUGCUUGGGCACACAUAACCAACAGUGUGCUUAGCUUAUCCUACUGUGUCAUCCCUUCUCUCAAACGGUUAUCGGUAGUACAGGAAUAUCAACCUGUUGUCCAUCACCUACGCCUUUCGGCCUCAGCUUAGGUCCCGACUAACCCAGGGCGGACGAACCUUCCCCUGGAAACCUUGGGUUUACGGCCUGUGGGAUUCUCACCCACAUCUCGCUACUCAUGCCAACAUUCUCACUCCCAUACUGUCCACAUGUCCUUACGGUCAUGCUUCAACCCGUAUGGGAAGCUCCCCUACCCAUCAUUACUGAUGCCGUAGCUUCGGUAGUAAGUUUUAGCCCCGGAAAUCUUCGGCGCAGGAUCACUCGACCAGUGAGCUAUUACGCACUCUUUGAAUGAGUGGCUGCUUCUAAGCCAACAUCCUGGUUGUCUGUGCAAUCCCACAUCCUUUACCACUUAACUUACAUUUAGGGACCUUAGCUGACGAUCUGGGCUGUUGCCCUUUCGACUAUGAAUCUUAUCACCCACAGUCUGACUCCCAAGUAUAAGAUGACGGCAUUCGGAGUUUGAUAGUCUUCGGUAGGUGCAAUACCCCCUAGGACAUUCAGUGCUCUACCUCCGUAUCUCUCACCUUGAGGCUAGCCCUAAAGCUAUUUCGGGGAGAACCAGCUAUCUCCGGGCUCGAUUGGAAUUUCACCGCUACCCACAAGUCAUCCCCGAGCUUUUCAACGCUCGUGGGUUCGGACCUCCACGAAAUUUUACUUUCGCUUCAUCCUGCUCAUGGGUAGGUCGCCCGGUUUCGGGUCUACGUCAAGUAACUGAACGCUCAGUUAAAACUCGCUUUCGCUACGGCUCCACACCUUAAGUGCUUAACCUUGCUACUUAACGUAACUCGUUGGCCCGUUCUACAAAAAGUACGCGGUCACACAAGAAAUGUGCUUCCACAGCUUGUAAGUGCAGGGUUUCAGGUUCUAUUUCACUCCCCUCCCGGGGUUCUUUUCACCUUUCCCUCACGGUACUAUACGCUAUCGGUCACUAGGUAGUAUUUAGCCUUGGAGGGUGGUCCCUCCUGCUUCCCACAGGGUUUCACGUGUCCCGUGGUACUCUGGAUCAUAUCUGAAGUCUUCUCGUUUAACAUACAGGACUAUUACCUUCUGUGGUGGGUCUUUCCAAACCUCUUCAAUUACGAUACCUCUUCGUUAUGAUAUGUCCGCAACCCCAAUAAAGAAAACUUUAUUGGUUUGGGCUAAUCCGCGUUCGCUCGCCGCUACUUACGGAAUCGAAUUUCUUUCUCUUCCUUCAGGUACUUAGAUGUUUCAGUUCCCUGAGUUCCCCUCAUUAAGCUAUGUAUUCACUUAAUGAUACUUAGACAUUACUCUAAGUGAGUUUCCUCAUUCGGAAAUCUUCGGAUCAAAGUUUACGUGCAACUCCCCGAAGCUUAUCGCAGCUUAUCACGUCCUUCAUCGGCUCCUAGUGCCAAGGCAUCCGCCCUGCACCCUUAAUAACUUGACCAGUUAAAAAGGUUUGAUAGAUUAGAAGCUAUCAACUUCGAUAAUU
Molecule: ribosomal RNA, 2896 nt
Filed under: Clostridioides difficile M120
Lineage: Bacteria; Bacillati; Bacillota; Clostridia; Peptostreptococcales; Peptostreptococcaceae
Description: CDIFFM120_02859
Source: RNAcentral